Bactrocera oleae (olive fruit fly) is the source of this 2587-nucleotide non-coding RNA. NCBI's taxonomy places the organism in Eukaryota, Metazoa, Arthropoda, Insecta, Diptera, Tephritidae. The record is from RefSeq and is a predicted model, not a curated record.
UAUUAAUUUGGCCGAAAUGUGGCCCAAGUCCGAUAUGUGAGACUGUAUAUACAUCGAGAGCGUCAGUACUAACAGACAUUUUUCGUACAGGGUUAUUUCAAUACAUAUAGGACGUCAGGUGGAAUAGAAAAUUGCGCCCUUUUAUAAUAAAAAGGAAGAUAUUGACAAACGGGAAGAUAAUUAAUUUCAAUUUGUCAUGCAAAUUCGUAAGAAGCAAUGUUCUUCGAGUGAAAAUUGAAAAAGUGAAGAUUUAUUGUAGUUUCUGUUUAAUAUUUUUGUGUUAAAUGAAUUUAUAAAAGAAUGGAAAAGUAUUGCAAAGAUUUAUUUAAAAAAUAUGUCAAAUUCAAAGCGGCGCGAAAUUGAAAAAAGGAUGUAUAUAGUAUAUUUAGAGGUAUUCCAAUAUGUCAUCGUAUUCCUGAAUGGUUUCUCACUGGCUCCAAUUACUCCAUGGGGAUAAAACUUUGCACAAAUAGUGCAUUUAAGGAAUGUCAUCUAAGGUCUAAAAAUGUCAAAAUCGGACCAUAACUUUUCAAGCCCCAAAAUACCGGAAAUGUGGACCCUAGAGCCUAUGGUUGACUUUCUACCAAAAAUAUGGGUCAAUGUGUGAGAUAUAUAAUCAAAAUCAGGAGAAGAUCCUUUCUUGAUAAUACUAGGUUAUGUUUGUGUAUGCUAUUUUUAUUGAAGCUUAUGGCUGCUUAUUUGCUUCGGUCAAUUUACAACAUGCGCUACCACAAAUAUACAAAACAAGGCUGAGAUGAGGAUGCUGUCCUGCAACCUAAUUACGAAACGCUGAUAUAUUGUUGAACCACUAUAGCAUGUAGCUGCCAUACAAAUUGAACGGACAAAAUCAAUUUUUUCUAUGGAAAACCUUUUUAUUUGACGGGAUAUCUUCACAAAAUCUGGCAUUGAUUAUUAUCCAAGGUAACGCUGCAAUACUCGAAGAAAUUUUCCUGUUCGGACCACCAUCGCAUACAGCUGUUAUACAAAGUAAACGAUCAAAAUCAAGUAAUUGUAUGGACUUUUUUUUAUUUAAGAAGAAAAUGUUUGAAAGAAAACACUCUACACUGCAGCAUAACGACCUAUAAUGAAUGCAAAUCAAGAAAAGCCACACGGAAUAGAAUUUAUACGAUUUCCCGUGAAAACGUCGUUUGAGCUGGAAAAAGUCAUACGCACCGUCUAUAAGCCUUGAAAGUAAAACAAUUUCGAAGGGAAGCAACAGGCAAUGCAACAAAUACAAUAAACACAAUAAAAGACGUGACUAAAAAUAUAAAUAACCUUCUCAACAACAACAAACAAAUAAAUAAAUAAAAUUUGACCGGUGAGACGAAUGGAGCGGACAAGCAAAACAAAACCACGAAAAUAUACAUACAUAUGUACAAGUAUAUAAAUAUACGAAGAUAAGUGCGUAUGCGUAAGUUUAAACAGUAAGAUAGGGAAAAUAAGAAAUAUUGUAGGCUGCACGAAUCUCAAACGUAUAUAUUUAUGUGUUUGUAUGUAAGUGGCCUGAAGCGAUAAGGAUCUGCCUAAGACUACAUAAAGUAGUGGUUUCAAAUGAACGCAAUCCGUGCAGACGUUUAAACAUUUGGGUUGGGGGAAAAGUGAAGAUAAUUUUCUAAGCCAACAGGUAGGUCAAUUGUAACUUGAGCAGAGCGCUGCAUGCGUUGCAUUUUUCGUUUUAUUUCCGCCUUUUAGCCGCCGGUUAAAACCUGUUAACGAACGUUUACACUGCUCAAACUUAGCGCUAAGUAAAUUUGUAUUGUAGAUAAGGUUGCAGAUACAUAGGAAUGUACAUAGAUUGCUUACGCCUAUGUAAUCGUAAUGUUGGAAGCGAACAACAAACUCUCAAUUGAAGAAGAAAAGUGAAAUGUGUUCAUGGCGCCUAACGCUGGCAUUGAAUGAAUAAAUGUAAUAUAAUAUUUUAAUAUUUUGCAAUUUCAGGGUUAACCCAAAAAAUGGCAAUUGUGCUGUGAACAAUUGCUGAGGCAGCAAAAAGAAAUUAUAAUAUGUAUGUAUUGUAUAUGAAUCAUCAUUCUAACAGAUAUACAAACACAUCUUUAUUGUUGUACAGUUUAAACACUAAAACACUAAUAUAAUAGCAUAUUUUUAUUGUAUUGACUACGGUAACUCUGGUUGGUGUUAAGAACUUAGGUCAUCGACGUCAACUAAUUAGUAGUUCAAAUUAGCUGCUUUGACGAGAUUGGCCGUUAGGAACAAAUGUUUAAGAUGAGCAAUCAUUUGAUAAGGGUAUCAACAAAAACGUGUUCGUGUGUGGAAAUAUUUGUUUGCAUAUUUGAUAACGCUAGGCAAAAUUGUAGGGUAGAGCACAACACUCGCACUAAUUUUAGAAAUACUUGUAGCACAUGAUACUUGUAUAUUGAAUAAAUAAAGAAUAUAAAAAUUAUGAUUGUUAUAGCGGUAAAAAACAUUCACAAAAUAAAUUAAAAGAAUAAUGCCGAGUGGGUAGUCCUACACAUAUGUACAUGUUCGAUUCUUCUGAGCAAAGGGAAUAAUAAUACUAAAUGUGAAGGCAGUCGUGUACAUUUCUCCAUAUUAAAUACAAUUCGUAUAACUAUUUAUAUUUUUACCU